GACGAACCGUGCGAACGUUGUUCGGAUUCACUGGGCAUAAAGGGCGCGUAGGCGGAUGGUCAAGUCGGGGGUGAAAUCUUUCAGCUUAACUGGAAAAGUGCCUCCGAUACUGAUCGUCUCGAGGGAGGUAGGGGCAUGUGGAACUUCCGGUGGAGCGGUGAAAUGCGUAGAUAUCGGAAGGAACGCCGGUGGCGAAAGCGACGUGCUGGACCUCUUCUGACGCUGAGGCGCGAAAGCUAGGGGAGCAAACGGG
RNAcentral lists this ribosomal RNA (253 nucleotides) under uncultured bacterium. RNAcentral describes it as "partial 16S ribosomal RNA". It matches the Rfam family "Bacterial small subunit ribosomal RNA", at positions 524 to 776 of the family's 1533-position model. The record is from RNAcentral.